This is a long non-coding RNA of Anas platyrhynchos (mallard), 505 nucleotides long. RefSeq lists it as uncharacterized. Lineage: Eukaryota; Metazoa; Chordata; Aves; Anseriformes; Anatidae. The record is from RefSeq and is a predicted model, not a curated record.
UUAGCUUUGCAGAGAAUUAUUGACGUGCUUAAAUUUAUCCAUUACAAGUGUCUAGUGAUUUCAGCAGGACUGUAUGAUUUAAUUAAAUUAAAUGUAUGAACACCUUUGUAGGAGCAGGGAGAGGAAACGAAGUUGGAUAUCUGGUUUUGUGCCUGGUUAUAUUUGCUGGUGCUUUGUCAGUGAGAGGGUAUUAACUGCGUAUUUUUGUGUUACUUCUGACGGUAUUUGGUUGUAAAGGCCACAGACAGGGAGGAGUUUGGGCGAAAGUGGAGAAGAGAAUCACUUCUGAUGCAAAACAAGAACUGUUCAGUAGAAUACAAUAGUAAUGUAUCAAAAUGAAGACCUGCUCUCCAGUGCCAUUGUCUCAUCUCCCGGGUGUCCUUUUCUGCGUUGGCUCUGGUGCCCUUAAUCUGAAGAGGACAGUGACAAGUGACUGAAGGGUCCCCACGGACGGAUGACAAACCACGUUGUGCUACAUUAACAAACCAUACACGAGCCUGGAGAA